AUCCUUAAGACCAAAACAUGAUUAUUUUCACAACAAAUCCCUAUACCCAAUGAACCGAAUUCAAAAAAUCCUGAUACAAUCCACACAUGCUAAAAUUUCACAAGAAUAACACAUUAUAUUUUCAUUAUUUUCAAUUAAGUCCCUAAACUAAAUAAUCAUACAAAAUCACAUAUCAAAAUAUUUCCAUUUAACACCCAAACAUAGUAAUCUAACAUUAACUUCCAAAAACAUAACAAACUCAUCAAUGAC
This 249-nucleotide long non-coding RNA is filed under the name Gossypium barbadense (sea-island cotton). Its description in RNAcentral is "long non-coding RNA (GBAR_LNC022462)". Lineage: Eukaryota; Viridiplantae; Streptophyta; Magnoliopsida; Malvales; Malvaceae. The record is from RNAcentral.